RNAcentral lists this long non-coding RNA (799 nucleotides) under Dermacentor andersoni. RNAcentral's name for it is "uncharacterized LOC126543820". Lineage: Eukaryota; Metazoa; Arthropoda; Arachnida; Ixodida; Ixodidae. The record is from RNAcentral.
UUCGAGCUAUGGCACUUGCCGCAUAGAUGUGGGGGGGCCUUGCACUAAUAGUGAUAGUUACCACUGCAUUUAGAAAUAGAACGCAUUCAUGCAGACAAGGAUGAUUCUUUAUAUUUUUGGCUACCACUUCAAGUGCCUUCACCAAGUGUUACAAUGCUGCACGCAGCCAUACUAAGGAUCUCGCAGCAACACCUGGAGGUAAAAAGCAGAAGCAGUCAAAGUGCUGGUGUGUACUGGACACUAUGUUUGAAAACAUUAGGCAAGAAGAGUGCAAGAAGCAGACAUAACAACUGCAUUUAUUUCCAUAAUUCCCCAUUUGAAUGGCCUUUUCUUUUUGCUUAGACAAUGCCUACACCUAGCUACAGCAGCUCCCUCAUACAGACUCCGCAAGCCAAGAGGCCGUGGAGGCAAAUGCAGGCAGCCAGCACACCCCGAACAGCCACCUUGACUGCGGGCGUGUCACCCUAGUCGCCAAGGAAACAUUUGAGGGAAAGCGACAGGCAAUGUGAACAGCCACUUCUCCAUGUAAACAAUACUCUUUCUCUCGUAUGACUCCUACGCCUCGCCACGCCAGCAGACUUGUGCACAAAGAUGCCGCGGAGUCACGUGCAGGUCAGAGGCAAGAAGCAGUGGCACUGGUGUCGACAUUCACCCACUUUCUUUUUCUUACACUGAGGCAGCCAGCACACCUCGAACAGCCACCUUGACUGCGGGUGUGUCAGUAGAUUCCUGUUGUACAUAUGCUCAUAAUAAACAUCAGUAAACUUGAACUUGAUAAUAAACUUGAAGGCAAAUGGGA